Non-coding RNA from Schizosaccharomyces pombe (fission yeast), 5495 nucleotides. The record is from the annotation of a GenBank genome assembly. Lineage: Eukaryota; Fungi; Ascomycota; Schizosaccharomycetes; Schizosaccharomycetales; Schizosaccharomycetaceae.
UUCAUCUUGAUAGUGAAUAACUUUGAAAACACUAUAUGCUAUUUCCAGAAACUAGUCUCGAAUUUUCAUACGCCAUAGACGGCCUGCUCCUCAGCCCAUUGACUUAAUUUACUAUGAUACACUUCCUAGAUUUAUUGAAAGGGUUUGUUUGCUUGGCAUAAAUAUUCAUUUAGUAUGCUACUCGCAAAAACUUCAAUUUUAAAGCCGCUUUGAAGAAUAAGUUAUUGCUGGUGGAAAAAGCUAUCCUAGAGCAUCUGAAAACUACCACUAACAUGAACAGAAUGUAAAGCAAAUAGUACAAAAACAGAUAUUGAGCUGUGCAGUAAACACAUAAAAAAAACAUUACUUGAAUGGAAUGUUUUUACUUAUAUAUGGCACAUAUAACAAGAGUUGGAUAAAAGGAUUAAUACAUAACGUUAAGACAUUUAAAAAAAAAAAAGAAAAAAAACCUCACAAAACUUAAUAUUCGUAAGAAUUUUUUUGUAAUCAUGACAAGGAGCCGCGUUCUUUUGAAAGUGGUUCAGUAAAAAGCAUCGUUUGGUUGUUAAUGGGAUAAGGAUUCGUACGUGCCGAAAUUCGAUUGUGAUUUCCAUUUAAUGAAGAAUAAUGACAGAAUCGAUUUCCCGAAGUACGCAUUGGUAAAGAAGCAGAUGAAGGUAUGAUAGGAACAGAUCCUCGACGCAUAUUCGAGAGUGGAGGAAUUGGAACCUUGGGUAAACGACCACCAGAAGCGUGGUUUUCAGCAGCUAAAGGAUUUUUACCUUUCGCAGUGGCGGCAUAGUGGUCAUAAUGACCUCCAUGCGGAGUCGACAUAGCGGAAUAAGCGCUUGACUGAAUGGCAUUGCCCAUACUCUCCAUUGACACGGCCUGUUGAGCAUAAAGCGGGUUUUGAGAGGCCAGUUCUGAGUUUGAAUUAGUUACAUGAUAACCCAUAUUCUGGUUCCAAGAGGUGGAUAAGUUUUUUGGGAUAGAAUUGGAAAUAAAAGAGUAAUUUUCAUUGACAUCGGGUUGCGUGUCAGACGUUAAAAAUUGUUUGGAAGCAGCAAGAGACAUGUUAUAGGAAGAUUGGUCAAUUGAAUCAGUGUUAGAAGACGGCUGUUUUGGCUGCAAAUACUGUGAUUUUUGGUCGACAUAAGGACCUUCUCCGUAAUCGAACAGAGCUUGAGAUGGUGAUGUGAAUUGAAUUAAAUUCAAAUUAACAAAUGAAUUAUUAGCAUUGGGAUUCACAGGGUUAAAGGCUAAUCCGGAUGGAUUAUAAACAUCAUUCAUAUACUGUGGAAGAGUCUGUAAAAAGUUUGGGUAGGAAUGACGAGCAGCCAUCUUUAUCGGAGGCUGCUCAAUAUUUUCAUUUAAGGCAUUGUUUGAAAUUGACUGCAAAGCCGAAAAUUGCUGCUGUUGUUGAAAAGAUGAAAGAUUAGACUGAUUCCUAGAUAUUGCAGAAGAGAGAGAAGAGGACUCUACACCAGAAAUCGGAGAGGUAGAAAGAGUAAGACCCUGAAAAUGGUAAGGAUCAAUCUCAGCAGUGGAGGAAGAGAAGAAAGGGUUAUAAGGAAAAGACGGAAGAGUUCGCUUUUCUAGCGUACUCAAUUGAGAAAUCUUUUCAGAUUCCGCAGCCUCAACCAAAGGAGGAAUACGGAAGCUUUUGUACUCUAAUAGAUCUUUUGAAAUGGUUAACUGUUGAAACAAAUUGAACGAGCUGGGCGUUUGAAGUUUCCCAUUGAGCACGUCUUCUGGGGUAUAAUAAGAUAUGAGAUGGUGAAGCCGACCAUCAAUCAUUAAAGAGAUAGUUUUUUUAAUCAGGCCACUCUUUUUAAAACCGUAAGAGUCGGUGAGUGAGCCCACCAAGGCUCUUUCGGUAUCAUGGAGAUAGGAAAGGGAAGAGGAGGAACAGUAAUGGAUGGAUGAAGUGGAAGAAAUGGAUUCACGCCUGGUCUGAGGGGCCCUGGGAUUUAUGGGCGCGGAAGAAGUGGAAGCAUUGGAAACAUUGGUGGUGGAUGGAGAUGAGGACGGGGGAGACUUGGGGACAAAGGGGGUACCAGUCGGUUUGGAGGAAACAAGGGGCAACGAAGAAAAGGAAGACGGGAACGCAGCACUUGUGGUGGGACUAGUAGGGGAAAGCACAUAUUCAUUUUUAACAGCGGCAAAUUCGGAUUUGAUGUCAUUGGAGCCAGGGGAGGAAGGAUUCUGCUGAGAAGAGGCAGAAAAAGAAGAACCUGGAAAAAGGUUGUCACUAAGCGAAGGAGCAGACGGAGAACUAAUAUUGACGUGGGAAGCAACGUCAACGUCGACAGGAACAGAAACGGUAAAAGCGGAAACCUCCUCUUCGUCGCUGUCGGAGCGAGACUUUGAGCUUCGCUUACGAUCGGAAACGGAAUUCUUCUUGCAAAGUUGCCUGUACACUAAAAAGUUGCCAAUGACCCUGGAAGGAGACCAGGCGAUACCAUCGGUCCAGCGUUUUAUACCGGACUGAACCUCAUCAAAGACAAACACACUUCCCGAACGAAUGAGACGUUCGCGCUCACGAUCUUGGGGACGACGGUCGACAAAGUGUGUAUAGUUUUGACGACAAGCCUCAAAGAGCAAGAGUGCAUCGACAGUAGUGCCAAUGAAACCGACAAAUGUCGGUUGAAGAUUGCCAGGUUCGGUCAUGAAAAAGGAAAGAAACGAGGCAAAAGAAAAAGAAAUGUAUAAUAUGGAAUAAGUGAGAAGCAAUGGAUGCCAAAGAAAAGAAAGAAAAUAAAAACGAACAAUUACUAGAUCUUAAAUGGCAAGGCAAUGUUUCGAUAAACAACCCAAAAAGAAAAAAAAAUGAAAAACAAUAACAACAACAACAGAAAGGGGGUAAGAAAAACUCAAGAAACAGAAAGGAAGACGCUUGAGAGUAGAAGAAAAAACAAAAGGGAAAAAUGUCGUAAGAGAAACAACAAAGAAAUAUGAAAUGUACAGUAGAAAGUGAGAGAUCAAUCAAUCCACUAGGCGACACAAAAUCGUACCAGAAAAAAUCGAUCAAUCAAUCAAUCAAUGGAUGUUAAAGUAUUGAUUGGAUUGCAAGAGAGCGAAAGUCGAGUUCGAGUCAGUCAGUCAAUCCCACACACACAAACACUUACACACAGAUAGACAGGCGAGCAGAUGGAUGAGAUGAAGUGAAAGCGGUAGACUAACUACACCAGACCAACAAAUAGACAAAUCAAACCGAGAAAAACAAUUCAAUAAACAGACAAUGGCCCUUCAAUUCAAAAAGCAAACCAAUGUUCACCACCAACAACGAAUUUUGGAGCUUUGUGGGGAGAAGCUUUUUGACCACCAAAAGCGCAAAGCGAAAAAAAGCGAAAGCCGUUAAUGGGUCGCACUUUUUCAAGCAAUUGCGGAACAGCACCAAUCGGAUGGCAAUCAACUGAUUUGAAAGAAAAGAAAGUUGGCUUGUAAGAGGCAAACAACUCGUCCUUUGUUGAAAGAUGGCGAGUCUUGAGGAGAUGGUUUAGAGAGAAAGUUUUUCACCCGCAGCAGGAAGCUAAUACAUAAGUGUGAAUGCCAAGAACAAAUAUGCAAAUGUGUACUCCUCAUAGCAUGAAUUCGACUACAUUGUAAGGGGUAGAAAACCGCACCCAGCAAGCAACGGAAAACGUCAUGAAAAGAAUCGAUAGAAGGCGGUAUAUUCUUUCCUCCAGUGUGUAUGCUGACGGGUUAGGUAGUGCUGAGAGGUUAUUAGCGAGUUUCCGAUUGUCAAGCAUCAAUAAGAAGCAUUAACGGAGCCCGACCCGAUCCGCCCAGGUUCUGGCCAUGUUCGAAGAAAACGGGACAUUCAUCCCUAAUAAGCGGGGAGGGCCACCCCAUAAACAAGAAAAUCGCUAAAUGCCUAACAGAUGGAACGAUGACGCAAUCUGCGUUAUAGUGGAAAACAGGGCAUUACAGAAUAAGGAUCAGCAAGAGGCCAGGCGGGAAAGGCAAGACAAGCAGGAAGACAACAAGGUACGAAAGACAAAAGGAUUCUGGCGGCCGCUUAUGACGAAAGGACAAAAAAAGGGGGGAAAGGCGAGGAAGAGAGAGGUAAGAGGAUUUGAAGGAAAUGUGGGGGAAGGGAAGGGAGCAGCACCAAAAAUAAACAAAGAGAAAAGUAGCGCAAGCGAAAUCCAGUGCGAACAGAAAACAACAAAGUCCAAAUAAGGAAGAGAAUGAUCAAAAAAAAAAAAAAACCGCAUUGACAUAGAUAUUGACAUUAACAUUAACAUCGACAUCGGCAUUUAAUGAAAUAAAAUAAAAUAAAAAAGUAGAGUGGAAAAAAUAGCACAACAUUUCCCUAGCAGACAAGAAAGGACAGGAAAAGACAAACAAACAAAAACAAAACAAAACCAAACGAAACUAAAACGGCAAAGCUUGAAAAAGUUGCCUAGACACAAAACGUAAAUGUGCAAACAAGACCUACUCACGGAACUUCGCUCCUACAGAACAACAAGGUAGACAAAGAUGAACGUAAACAAAGGAAAAGGUGCGCGGAGACGAGCAACGUGCCCUGUCCAAAUCAACCAUCGAUGUAGCAACAGAUUUGCAAUUAUCAGUGGACAUCAAUAAUCAUGAAAUAAGAGAAAAAGAUGAAAAAGAAAGAGAAGAGUAAAAAAAAUUUAAAAAUUUUUUUUUUUCGUUUUGGAAAAUGAAAAAAAUUCAUUGCAAAAGUCAAUGCUAACAGAAAUUUUUCACGUACAUCAUUAUGCAAAGAAACGCAAUAAGAAGGCAAACUAUUUAAUGAAAAGAAGAUACAAUCACCUAAGAGAAAUAGACAACUAUCUAAUGAAAAAUGACAACCUGGUGAACAAAGACUUCUCCAUCUCAUCCAAACAACAUACUCGAAAACAUGCACUAAAACGAAUACGAACCGAUAGGGAUCGAACGAUAUGGAAAUAACCAUCCAACCAAAGAUCCUCAUCUUUCUCAUCCCUCUUUUCCCCUGACGGUGGGGUUGUUUGUUUGAUGAUGCACCUUUUUUUUGAGCCGCUAUUACUAUUAGGUGCAAACAACAACAACAACAACAAUUUUUUGCAAUUUGCAAUUUCUUCGGCGUUUCCGGACUUUGGACAAAAUUCUUUUCCCCAAGACUUGUUUCACCAUGUUUAAAAAAUGAUGCUCUCUAUUUUCGGUAGCAUUCGGUCAUAUUGCAAACUCAAUGCCUUUCCAUAUACUUUUAUUAGACUAGCCCUUCGAUCUAGCACCCAUCCAUCCACUACCACGUAUUUCCUACCUAAAUCUCAGACGAUCGCAUGACUCGUACGCAAACUUUCCUACUCUAUGUUUGGAUAAUGCUUGACUGUGGGACUUUGAAAAAUGUUACUUGUUCUCCAACAGUAAAGUCUCUCCAAUCUUCCCCACCUUUUGACUUAACGCCUAUUGCCUGUAUGAUACGUUACCCCGGGCCUCGAUCUUCAGAUAACCCUCAAUGAAACGAAAGCAAGCGGGCGAACAAAUAAAUGAGAGGAGGUGGUCUUUGGGUGACACCAAUCUUA